CGGGSRWGCGMGCUUAMCAUGCAAGUCGAGCGGAUGRAGGGAGCUUGCUCCUGGAUUCAGCGGCGGACGGGUGAGUAAUGCUUAGGAAUCUGCCUAUUAGUGGGGGACAACAGUUGGAAACGACUGCUAAUACCGCAUACGCCCUACGGGGGAAAGGAGGGGAUCUUCGGACCUUUCGCUAAUAGAUGAGCCUAAGUCAGAUUAGCUAGUUGGUGGGGUAAAGGCCUACCAAGGCGACGAUCUGUAGCGGGUCUGAGAGGAUGAUCCGCCACACUGGGACUGAGACACGGCCCAGACUCCUACGGGAGGCAGCAGUGGGGAAUAUUGGACAAUGGGGGCAACCCUGAUCCAGCCAUGCCGCGUGUGUGAAGAAGGCCUUUUGGUUGUAAAGCACUUUAAGCGAGGAGGAGGCUCUUCUAGUUAAUACCUAGGAUGAGUGGACGUUACUCGCAGAAUAAGCACCGGCUAACUCUGUGCCAGCAGCCGCGGUAAUACAGAGGGUGCGAGCGUUAAUCGGAUUUACUGGGCGUAAAGCGUACGUAGGCGGCUUUUUAAGUCGGAUGUGAAAUCCCUGAGCUUAACUUAGGAAUUGCAUUCGAUACUGGGAAGCUAGAGUAUGGGAGAGGAUGGUAGAAUUCCAGGUGUAGCGGUGAAAUGCGUAGAGAUCUGGAGGAAUACCGAUGGCGAAGGCAGCCAUCUGGCCUAAUACUGACGCUGAGGUACGAAAGCAUGGGGAGCAAACAGGAUUAGAUACCCUGGUAGUCCAUGCCGUAAACGAUGUCUACUAGCCGUUGGGGCCUUUGAGGCUUUAGUGGCGCAGCUAACGCGAUAAGUAGACCGCCUGGGGAGUACGGUCGCAAGACUAAAACUCAAAUGAAUUGACGGGGGCCCGCACAAGCGGUGGAGCAUGUGGUUUAAUUCGAUGCAACGCGAAGAACCUUACCUGGUCUUGACAUAGUAAGAACUUUCCAGAGAUGGAUUGGUGCCUUCGGGAACUUACAUACAGGUGCUGCAUGGCUGUCGUCAGCUCGUGUCGUGAGAUGUUGGGUUAAGUCCCGCAACGAGCGCAACCCUUUUCCUUAUUUGCCAGCGGGUUAAGCCGGGAACUUUAAGGAUACUGC
Molecule: ribosomal RNA, 1121 nt
Filed under: Acinetobacter gandensis
Lineage: Bacteria; Pseudomonadati; Pseudomonadota; Gammaproteobacteria; Moraxellales; Moraxellaceae
Description: bacterial SSU rRNA
Rfam family: Bacterial small subunit ribosomal RNA
Source: RNAcentral